CCCUUACGGGGCGCAGCAGGCGCGGUCAUACGUAGGAUCCAAGCAUUAUCCGGAAUUACUGGGCGUAAAGAGUUGCGUAGGUGGCAUUGUAAGCAGGGCAUGAAAUCGUGUGGCUCAACCAUACGGCUAUGUUCUGAACUGCAAAGCUAGAGAGCGAGAGGGGUAGAUGGAAUUACUAGUGUAGGAGUGAAAUCCGUAGAUAUUAGUAGGAACACCGAUAGCGUAGGCAGUCUACUGGCUCGUCUCUGACACUCAGGCACGAAAGCGUGGGGAGCGAACAGGAUUAGAUACCCUGGUAGUCCACGCCGUAAACGAUGGAUGCUAGCUGUGAAUCGUAUCGACCCGAUUCGUAGCGAAGCUAACGCGUUAAGCAUCCCGCCUGUGGAGUACGGCCGCAAGGCUAAAACAUAAAUGAAUUGACGGGGACCCGCACAAGCGGUGGAGCGUGUUGUUUAAUUCGAUGGUAAGCGAAGAACCUUACCCAGGCUUGACAUCCUGUGAAGCAUUGCGAAAGCAAAGUGUGCCUUCGGGAGCACAGUGACAGGUGAUGCAUGGCCGUCGUCAGCUCGUGUCGUGAGAUGUUGGGUUAAGUCCCGCAACGAGCGCAACCCUUAUAGUUAGUUGAAUUUCUCUAGCUAGACUGCCCUGGUAACAGGGAGGAAGGAGGGGAUGAUGUCAGGUCAGUAUUUCCCUUACGUCUGGGGCUACAAACACGCUACAAUGGCCGGUACAAAGGGCAGCCAACCCGCGAGGGGGAGCUAAUCCCAUCAAAGCCGGUCUCAGUUCGGAUAGCAGGCUGAAACUCGCCUGCUUGAAGCUGGAAUCGCUAGUAAUGGUAGGUCAGCACACUACCGUGAAUACGUUCCAGGGUCUUGUACACACCGCCCGUCAAACCAUGAAAGUGACCAACACCCGAAGUCCGAUUCGUCGGCCUAAGGUGGGGGACAUGAUUGGGGUUAAGUCGUAACCAGGUAGCCGUAAGGGCGAAUUCGUU
This 994-nucleotide ribosomal RNA is filed under the name uncultured bacterium. RNAcentral describes it as "bacterial SSU rRNA". It matches the Rfam family "Bacterial small subunit ribosomal RNA", at positions 498 to 1533 of the family's 1533-position model. The record is from RNAcentral.